Oncorhynchus gorbuscha (pink salmon) is the source of this 8346-nucleotide RNA transcript. It is a transcript of the gene named sodium channel protein type 4 subunit alpha-like, with no coding region annotated. NCBI's taxonomy places the organism in Eukaryota, Metazoa, Chordata, Actinopteri, Salmoniformes, Salmonidae. The record is from RefSeq and is a predicted model, not a curated record. The transcript has 28 exons.
CACCGACGCUUCUUGCGGUAAACCGUCGCGCGUAAAGUUGUUAUAGACUACUUGGACUAAAUCAACAGCUUUGUGGACAACGACUUUCUGCACGGAGCAUAUUAAAUAAUUUAUUUGGAGUCUAUUUAUUGGAAAGUGCAAUAAAAUAUAAAUGGUCAACUCAACCGUUAAAAAUAUGCCCAAUAAUGAGUUGGGUUAACAACUGGUAGAAUACGCGCGUUUUUUUCGAAUCAUUGGGUGCACCUUGCAUUAACAAAACAAAUGAUAUAUUCGAAAUAAUUAUAACACUUUUCAAAUAAGGUAUUCGGAUUGUUUGGAAUUGUGUAAAGAGUGUUCGACAUGGCUUUAUCUCUUCCAGUGGAUGGAAAUGCCAAAAUUUGUUGAAAUAGACUGGGGGACGCAAUGCUGUAAAUAAAGGAGAUUCACAUCUGGUGAAGUCAUCCCUAGGACAGGAGACUCAGGAUGAGAAGAUGGCCACCGUGCUGCUACCACCGGGUCCUGACAGCUUGCACCGGUUUACCUGGGAGUCCCUGGCUGCCGUGGAGCAGCGGAUCGCCGAGGAAGAGGCCCGGCGCACCAAGCACUACCAGGAGGACCUGGGAGAUGUGGAGCUGCCCAGGCCCCGGGCCGACCUGGAGGCCGGCAAACAGCUGCCGCGCAUCUUCGGCGACAUCCCCAACGGCCUGGUGGGCGUCCCACUGGAGGACUUCGACCCCUUCUAUUUCAUGAACCAGAGAACUUUUAUAGUACUGAACAAGGGGAAGGCCAUCUUCCGAUUUAGUGCCACAUCUGCACUCUAUAUUUUUAGCCCCUUUCAUCCUGUUAGAAGAGCAUCAAUAAAGGUUUUAGUACACUCGUUAUUCAGUCUGUUCAUAAUGUGCACUAUUUUGACCAACUGUUGCUUCAUGGCCAUGUCGGAACCAGAGUAUUGGGCCAAGUAUGUAGAGUACACUUUCACUGGCAUUUACACGUUUGAAUCGUUGAUAAAGAUUCUGGCAAGGGGAUUCUGUGUGGGGCCAUUUACCUUCCUGCGUGACCCUUGGAACUGGCUGGAUUUCAGUGUGAUUGUCAUGGCAUAUGUUACUGAAUUUGUGGACCUGGGCAAUGUCUCAGCAUUACGGACAUUCAGAGUCCUACGAGCACUGAAAACUAUCUCAGUCAUCCCAGGCCUGAAGACCAUCGUGGGUGCGCUGAUCCAGUCAGUGAAGAAGCUGGCGGACGUUAUGAUCCUAACCGUUUUCUGCCUCAGUGUGUUCGCCCUCAUCGGCCUUCAGCUCUUCAUGGGUAACCUACGACAGAAGUGCGUACGCAGCACGGCGCACUGCGUCAACAACACCCUCAACACCAACACAACCUUUUUCUGCAACAACCGGACGUGGUCCUCACUCAAAGACUUUAUUGCAGACGAAGAUAACUACUACAAAGUGGAGGGAGCGAAGGAUGCCUUAAUAUGUGGGGACGGGAGUGAUGCUGGGCAUUGCCCAGAUGGGUUUGAAUGUAGGAAGGCAGGAAGGAACCCUAACUAUGGUUACACCAGCUUUGACAGCUUUGGUUGGGCGUUUCUCUCCCUCUUCCGGCUGAUGACACAAGAUUACUGGGAGAACCUCUAUCACCAGACUCUGCGGUCAGCAGGAAAGACCUACAUGGUGUUCUUCGUGGUGGUCAUCUUCCUGGGGUCAUUCUACCUGGUUAACCUGAUCCUAGCUGUGGUGGCUAUGGCCUACGAGGAACAGAACCAGGCCACUAUCCAGGAGGCCUGGCAGAAAGAGAGGGAGUUCCAGCUGGCCAUGGAGUGCCUCAAGAAGGAAGCGCAGAAAGCUCAAGACACAGAUUCAUUGAUUUUCCUGGACCUGUCCCCUGGCCUGGCUCUGCCUGACAACAAGGAGUUGCAGAGCAGGAGGAGAAGUCUAGAGGGGCUGGUGGAGGAGACGGAGAACGAGGGAGACGUGGAGAAGGGAGACGUGAAAACAUUAAAGGUGGAUACAGUGGAUGGGGGCAGGCCAACACACCCCCUCCUCAUCCGCACCAUCUCCACGCGCACUAGACGAGGAAGCAACGUCAGUAUAUUUAACUUCAAUCGCCGGAACAAAGACCCAGAGGGUGACUUUGCCGACGAUGAGCUCAGUGUCCAUGGGGACAAUGAGGGGACACACAGUCGUGCUGGGUCCCUGGUGGUCCCGUGGAGCACCAGACGCAGGCCCAGUACCUACAGCACGGGCAGCCGGGGUUCCCAGGUCUUCCUCAACAUCAAUGGGAAGCUGUUUGUGGCCAUGGACCAGAACGGGGUCACCCCGCAGGGCCUCCCAGCAUGCACCAUUGAGAGGGUCAAGGAGGAGAGUAGGCCUAACUCCAGCACAGAGCUGAGCAACAUGCUGCUCCCUCGCCAGGUAUCCAGACAAGAGCACGCACGCAGGGACCGAGCUUUGAGCGCCGCCAGCUACCUCACCGACGCCUUGGAGGAACUGGAGGAGUCGCAUCAGAAGUGCCACCCCUGCUGGUAUGAGUUUGCCCACAAGUACCUGAUCUGGGAAAGCAGUCCACGUUGGCUUCGGUUGAAGGCGCUGGUCAAGGUGAUGGUGAUGGAUCCCUUCCUGGACCUAGCCAUUACCAUCUGCAUCGUGCUCAACACCCUGUUCAUGGCCAUGGAGCACUACCCCAUGACUGACGAGUUCAACGGCAUGCUGUCCAUAGGCAACCUGGUAUUCUCCGGGAUCUUCACCGCUGAGAUGGUUUUAAAGAUCAUCGCUCUGGAUCCAUACUACUAUUUCCAACAAGGUUGGAACAUCUUUGACAGCAUCAUCGUGUGCCUCAGCCUCAUGGAGCUGGGCCUGUCCGACGUGGAAGGACUGUCCGUUCUCCGGUCCUUCAGACUGCUGAGGGUGUUCAAGUUGGCCAAGUCGUGGCCUACCCUCAACACACUCAUCAAGAUCAUCGGCAACUCGGUGGGCGCCCUGGGAAACCUAACCCUGGUCCUAGCCAUCAUAGUCUUCAUCUUUGCCGUAGUGGGCAUGCAGCUGUUCGGCAAGAACUACCAGGACUGUGUGUGUAAGAUCUCCAAGGACUGUACGCUGCCGCGCUGGCACAUGAAGGACUUCUUCCACUCGUUCCUCAUCGUAUUCAGGGUGCUGUGCGGCGAGUGGAUCGAGACCAUGUGGGAUUGUAUGGAGGUGGCCGGGCAACCUCUCUGCAUCCUGGUCUUCAUGCUCGUCAUGGUGAUCGGGAACCUAGUGGUACUCAACCUCUUCCUAGCCUUGCUGCUCAGCUCAUUCAGCUCAGACAACCUCUCGGCACCUGAUGACGACGGCGAGAUGAACAACCUGCAAAUCGCUCUCGGUCGCAUCAAAAGCGGCAUGGGCUGGCUCCGAAGCCAGAUCUGUGACUUCUUCAACGGCAACUUCAAGAGGCGACGGCAGAAGAGAAAAGAAACAAAGGCCAUGGUGAAGCUCAAGAGGCUGAGCCACGGUGCUCCGCUUGGCGAGGUGGGCAACGGGACAGUGGUGACGGUGGGGGGGAGGGAUCGGGGUGAUCGGGCACCACGGAGAGAAGAUAAUGGUCCCGGAGGUCGAUGACAGCUACAUGACAAACCCCAAUCUGACCAUCAGUGUGCCCAUCGCUCCUGGCGAAUCAGACGUGGAGUUCCCUGAGGAGGAUGAUGAUGAUGAGGAUGAGAGCGAGAGCUCGGAGGAGGAGGAGGAGGAAGUGGAGGAGAGCAAGCAGGUAAAGGAUGACAUCAGCCUUUCAGAGGGCAGCACAGUGGAUCUGAGGAAGCCAGGGGAGGAAGAGGAUGAGUAUUCGGAGAUGGCCGAAGAGACCAUGGAUCCUGACAACUGCUUCCCUGAUGUAUGCGUGCGCCACUUCCAGUGCUGUGACAUCCAAACCACGGCGGGCCUGGGCCAGGCAUGGUGGCGGUUGAGGAAGACCUGCUUUCAGAUCGUGGAGCACAGCUGGUUCGAGUCCUUCAUCAUUUUUAUGAUCCUGCUGAGCAGCGGCGCUCUGGCCUUUGAGGACAUCUACAUCGAACAGAGAAAAGUGGUCAAAGUGGUGCUGGAGUACGCCGACAAGAUCUUCACCUACAUUUUCAUUCUGGAGAUGCUCCUCAAGUGGAUUGCAUACGGAUUCAAGAAGUACUUCACUAACUACUGGUGCUGGCUGGAUUUCCUGAUUGUGGAUGUGUCUUUGGUGAGCCUAGUGGCUAACACACUUGGCUACUCGGACUUCGCUGCCAUCAAAUCACUUAGAACCCUCAGAGCUCUGAGGCCGCUAAGAGCACUGUCCCGAUUUGAAGGCAUGCGGGUUGUGGUAAACGCCCUGAUCGGCGCCAUCCCUUCCAUCAUGAACGUACUGCUGGUGUGCCUGAUCUUCUGGCUCAUCUUCAGCAUCAUGGGGGUCAAUCUGUUCGCCGGAAAGUACGGACGCUGCGUCAACCAGACGGGCUACAUCCACAAUGUGUCCAUGGUCAACAACAAGACCGACUGCCGGGCCAUGAACGACACGCAGUUCUACUGGACCAGAGUCAAGGUCAACUUCGACAACGUGGGCGCUGGUUACCUUGCCCUCUUACAAGUUGCUACAUUCAAAGGCUGGAUGGAGAUCAUGUAUGCAGCAGUGGAUUCUCGUGCUGUGGACGAACAGCCUAUCAGAGAAGUCAACAUGUACAUGUACCUAUACUUCGUCAUUUUCAUCAUCUUUGGCUCCUUCUUCACCCUUAACCUCUUCAUUGGUGUCAUUAUCGACAACUUCAACCAGCAGAAACGAAAGUUAGGUGGGCAAGACAUCUUCAUGACAGAGGAACAGAAAAAGUACUACAAUGCCAUGAAGAAGCUAGGGUCUAAAAAGCCUCAGAAACCAAUUCCAAGGCCAUUGAACCAAGUGCAGGGCUUCUUCUUCGACCUGGUGGGAAAGCAGGCAUUCGACAUCAUCAUCAUGGUCCUCAUCCUGCUCAACAUGAUUACCAUGAUGGUGGAGACGGACGAGCAGCCGGCCCGAAUGGAGUACAUCCUCAACAAAAUCAACCUGGCCUUCAUCAUCAUCUUCUCCUGCGAGUGCCUCAUCAAGAUCGUGGCUCUACGCUGCUACUUCUUCACCAUUGGCUGGAACAUCUUCGACUUUGUAGUGGUCAUCCUCUCCAUCGUUGGUAUCGUUCUCGCUGACAUCAUAGAGAAGUACUUUGUGUCGCCGACACUGUUCCGAGUCAUUCGAUUGGCCAGGAUCGGACGAGUACUUCGACUCAUCCGUGGAGCCAAAGGAAUAAGGACCUUACUCUUUGCCUUAAUGAUGUCCCUUCCCGCCCUAUUCAACAUCGGCCUCCUGCUCUUUCUGGUCAUGUUCAUAUACGCCAUCUUUGGCAUGGCCAACUUUGCCUAUGUCAAAAAGCAGGCGGGCAUCGAUGACAUGUUCAACUUCGAGACGUUCGGCAACAGUAUGAUCUGCCUAUUCCAGAUCACCACGUCAGCGGGCUGGGACGGCCUGCUCAGCCCCAUCCUCAACAACUCUCCGGAAGAGUGCAACCCCAACCUCGUCCACACAGGCACAAACGCCCGGGGAAACUGUGGCAACCCCUCAGUGGGCAUCACCUUCUUUGUCACCUAUAUCAUCAUCUCCUUCCUCAUCGUGGUCAACAUGUACAUCGCCAUCAUUCUGGAGAACUUCAGCGUGGCCACCGAGGAGAGCACCGAGCCGCUGAGUGAGGACGACUUCGAGAUGUUCUAUGAGGUGUGGGAGAAGUUCGACCCAGAGGCCACGCAGUUCAUCGAGUACGCCAAGCUGUCAGACUUUGCCGACACACUGUCGGAGCCACUGCGCAUUGGCAAGCCUAACAAGAUUAAGCUGAUCUCCAUGGACCUGCCCAUGGUCAGUGGAGACAAGAUCCACUGCCUGGACAUUCUGUUUGCCUUCACCAAGCGUGUGUUGGGCGAGUCGGGUGAGAUGGACGCUCUUAAGCAGCAAAUGGAGGAGAAGUUCAUGAUGGCCAACCCAUCCAAGAUCUCCUACGAGCCCAUCACCACCACGCUGAGGCGCAAACAGGAGGACAUGUCCGCCGCAGUCAUCCAGAGGUGCUACCGCCGGCACCUGUUGCGGAGGCAGAUGAAGCAAGCCUCCUUCAUGUACAGAUCAAUGCAGAUCAAUCUGACGCAAAGCUCCACGGACAAGAGGGUCACCGCCCCGGAGAAAGAGGGCCUCAUAGCCUCCAUGAUCAAGGAGAACUACGGGGGGCCUGAGAUGGAGCUGAUGGAGACCCUGUCCUCCACCUCCUCUCCGCCCUCUUACGACAGCGUCACACGGGCGACUAGUGAACUUUUCCAAGUUUUAAUUCUCGAACAGUCCAGGAACAGUGACCUAAGCGAACAUUGCCUUGCCCCCGACAGAGACCGUGAGACAUUUCUGUAACAGCGACUAGGAAAUGCUUUUUUUCUCUUUUACAUUUUUUGUUGUUGUUGUUGUUGUUUACCGAAUGUAAAAUAGCUCAAAUGACCCUGGUUUAGUACAUGUGGUUGUGCAGAGAAUCUGCUCGGGGUUUUCAUAGAGAAAAGGCAAAUGAUUUGUUUAUUUUUGGUAAACAUGCUUUGUGGGAGUACACAAAGGGGGCGUGUGUAAAUCCUAGAUGACCAUUGACCCUGCUCAUGUCAAGUUUGCUUCACAGUUAAUAUGCAUGAAUAACCUCUGCAGGGUCACAACAAUUAUAUCACUGAUGUAAUAAUCAUUUAUUAGACUAAAAGAAAUACAGUUGAUCAGUAUUUACAAAGAAUGCCUGACCGUAUGAGUUCAUUAAAGGUCUUACUAUUAUUGGUGUGAUUCCUUAUGAUCAACAGUUUUAGAACUGUGAGAUGUGGGAGAAAAAACAAAGGGAUACAAUUUUUUCGUAGUAAAGUAUAACUUUGUUGAUGUUACCAGUCUUUCAUAGCAGUACAAUUAUUACUAUUUUUGAUAUUUUUAGAGUAAGAAAAAAAACAUGGCCUCUUCUGAAUUGGAGUCGCUUACCAUGAAAGGGAAUACUUCCACACUGUAACAAGACGAACGGGCAGGUAAUGACUUUUCACAUUAAAAGACCGCUGUAUUUGAACUGUUUUAGCGUUUUUUUCCCUUGCGUUUACAUGUAAAACAUAUCCCGGGCUCCCUGCAUAUUAGUUCACUUUUCAUUCAUAACGAUCUGGUUUUAGUUACACAAAGCUAAGAAGCAAUUCAGUAACCAAGAUCAGUAUGUGACAAUCAAACCUACAUCUCAUGGUUAAGAUUGACAGAUGUUUUUUUUCUCCAUAACUUCUUUAGGACUUAAACUGCCCAAGUGGCUGCAUAUUUUAUGAGCAUCAGAGAUCCUAUUCACUAUUAGACGGGUGGAUAAUCGUCCUAUUUAUUUAUUAUUUUAAGUAUUUGUUUUGCAUGUUUUGAAUGCAUCAUAUAGACAAGUCACGCCCAAGGCUGAACAGCUAUAAUUUCUCUACAGUAUUUUGCAGAAACUGUGUUUAGCAGUAAUUUGCUACUUUUAAGUGAAUUAUUUUUCAGAUAAAAGUGUAAAAGUUUGUACAGCAUUUAUUUAGUUUGCUCUACAGUCCAUUCAGCUUCUCUUGGUUACCCAUGACUACUCUCCACUGUAGGACUGAUACCGGCACAUAUAGUUUCUAUUCAACUAGAAGAAUAAUAAAAAAUACACCGCUCAACUUUAAUAUGAUAUACUGUAUAUUUUCAUGUUAUGGUUGCAGGUGUGUUGAAGGGCUGUUUUCUGUAGCAAUAGAUCCAGUGUGUGCCUGGUAUAUACAGUACCCCGGUCCUGUUUCUAAAUGGAUCUCUACCCACAUCGUUGCCCCAUUAGAUGCCAUGGAUGAGUGACUGGGAUCACACUGCUAUUUAUCAGUGUCUACGGGGGACUUUUCUAAAGAGAUUUCUGAUUGCAUGCUUUGUAUCGGGAACAUUGGGGAAAAUGUUUAGAACUUGGGAGCGGUCCUAUAUGUUGUUAGGAGGGGGGGACAUUUUUACACAAAAACGGCAUGGUGAAAAGUCAACUCGACACAUCUCUGUCAUAAAUGUACUGUUUUCAUCAAAACAAGAGCUGCUUCAUCAUAAUAACACCCAAGACAUGAACAGAAAAUGUUUUUUUUUCUCUCCAUUCUUAUAAACUGUCAUAAAUGCAGUAGCCUACAACAGGCAUCUUCUCAGCAGUCAGUAGAUACUGGCUUUACAUGUCUCACUGCUCAACCACAAUGCAGUGCCUCAGUAAUGCCCACAUUGCAGUAAAUAUUAUUUAUAAAUACAUUUUAGUACUUUAAGUUUAAAUAUUUUUUGUACUUUGCAAACACAUGCCUCUGUAUAUAAGAUAACGACCUCCUGUGAAAUAAAAGAGAGCCUACAAUA